This 235-nucleotide ribosomal RNA is filed under the name Lingulaulax polyedra. Its description in RNAcentral is "Lingulodinium polyedra partial Bacterial small subunit ribosomal RNA". It matches the Rfam family "Bacterial small subunit ribosomal RNA", at positions 1272 to 1525 of the family's 1533-position model. The record is from RNAcentral. Lineage: Eukaryota; Dinophyceae; Gonyaulacales; Lingulodiniaceae.
UCUCAACAAUUAUCGUUCUAAUUGAAAAUUGAAAUGUUUUGAUGAAGGAGGAAUUAUUAGGAAUCAUUGGUUAGUUAUUCAAUGGUGGACAGGAUAUAAGUUUUGUACAUACCGCCCGUCAAGCAAAAAGCAGAGUUGAAUAUGAAAAUGGCAUAAAAUAAAAGCUAUUUUUUGUGCUUUCUAAUUUGUGUUAAGUCGAAACAUGGUUGCCAAUAAGGAAUUAUUGGCAGGACCA